UACACACCGCCCGUCACACCAUGGGAGUUGGCCUUUACCCGAAGGCGGUGCGCUAACCAGCAAUGGAGGUAGCCGACCACGGUAGGGUCAGCGACUGGGGUG
Molecule: ribosomal RNA, 102 nt
Filed under: uncultured bacterium
Lineage: Bacteria
Description: partial 16S ribosomal RNA
Rfam family: Bacterial small subunit ribosomal RNA
Source: RNAcentral